UUGACCUCCGAUCAGGUAGGGAUACCCGCUGAACUUAAGCAUAUCAAUAAG
This 51-nucleotide ribosomal RNA is filed under the name Leptosphaeria sclerotioides. RNAcentral describes it as "partial 28S ribosomal RNA". Lineage: Eukaryota; Fungi; Ascomycota; Dothideomycetes; Pleosporales; Leptosphaeriaceae. The record is from RNAcentral.